CCUACGGGAGGCUGCAGUGAGGAAUAUUGGUCAAUGGGCGAGAGCCUGAACCAGCCAAGUCGCGUGAGGGAGUACUGCCCUAUGGGUUGUAAACCUCUUUUGUCGGGGAGCAAAAGCCGGACGUGUCCGGCUGUGAGAGUACCCGAAGAAAAAGCAUCGGCUAACUCCGUGCCAGCAGCCGCGGUAAUACGGAGGAUGCGAGCGUUAUCCGGAUUUAUUGGGUGUAAAGGGUGCGCAGGCGGAUUUUUAAGUCAGCGGUAAAAUCGUGGGGCGCAACCCCAUCCAGCCGUUGAAACUGGGGAUCUAGAGUGUGCGAGAGGUAUGCGGAAUGCGUGGUGUAGCGGUGAAAUGCAUAGAUAUCACGCAGAACCCCGAUUGCGAAGGCAGCAUACCGGUGCACAACUGACGCUCAGGCACGAAAGCGUGGGUAUCGAACAGGAUUAGAUACCCUUGUAGUC
RNAcentral lists this ribosomal RNA (458 nucleotides) under uncultured bacterium. Its description in RNAcentral is "partial 16S ribosomal RNA". It matches the Rfam family "Bacterial small subunit ribosomal RNA", at positions 338 to 795 of the family's 1533-position model. The record is from RNAcentral.